GCGUGGGAUUACUGAGCUGGGCUGGAGUACGCCAGACGGUGGUAGAAGCUCGGGCAUUGCCGCUAUUCCGCACAUGUCCAGUGGUUGAGCUCUUAAUAAGACAAUAAGGCAAUCCUGUCUCAGACGUCUGUUCUGUUGUUGCCAUCAACAGUUCAGUCUCAAAGCUCUCGUUCUCACAGAUAAGAAGUCACCAUUAAUUCAUUCGUCAUCAAGCAGUCUAUGCCUGUCAUGGAGUCUGACCAGUGGAGUUCCGGAAUCUGUGACUGCACCGAUGACAUGGCAGACUGUGCUGUUUUGGAUGCUGGUGUUGUCCCUUCCAUGCCUGUAUACAUGCAAGGCAGUACGGACAGUGUCUUUGUCUCCCUCUGCUGGACAUCUUUGGCAUCAUCCCGCCCGUCACAAUGUCAAUAAGUGUGUCAAUGCGCCAGUGCUACAGCAUCAAAAUCUGCUAAGCACACCUCUGCCUCUGCUAGCCACACAACCAUUGCCUCAGAGUGGUUGGGUAAACUCCUUCCUGGCUGGCCCUGUCCAGGGGUGACAGUGUCUCCCAACCUCCCUGUCUCAGUCCCCAGUAGCAAUAGGUCAUGUGCCGGAACUUAUUCAAUAAAGAUCAAGUGUAAUAUAUAAAAAUAAACCGAA
Molecule: long non-coding RNA, 639 nt
Organism: Coregonus clupeaformis (lake whitefish)
Lineage: Eukaryota; Metazoa; Chordata; Actinopteri; Salmoniformes; Salmonidae
Exons: 5
Source: RefSeq, a predicted model, not a curated record